This 253-nucleotide ribosomal RNA is filed under the name uncultured bacterium. RNAcentral describes it as "partial 16S ribosomal RNA". It matches the Rfam family "Bacterial small subunit ribosomal RNA", at positions 524 to 776 of the family's 1533-position model. The record is from RNAcentral.
UACAGAGGAGCCAAGCGUUGUCCGGAUUGACUGGGCGUAAAGCGCACGCAGGCGGGUGUGCGCGUGGGGGGUGAAAUCUGGCCGCUUAACGGCCAGGCGCCAUCCCAUACGGCACGCCUGGAGUGAUGCAGAGGUCGAUGGAAUUGCCGGUGUAGUGGUGAAAUGCGUAGAUAUUCGGAAGAACACCAGUGGCGAAGGCGACUUACUGGACACAUAUUGACGCUGAGGUGCGAAAGCGUGGGGAGCAAACAGG